RNAcentral lists this ribosomal RNA (400 nucleotides) under uncultured bacterium. Its description in RNAcentral is "bacterial SSU rRNA". It matches the Rfam family "Bacterial small subunit ribosomal RNA", at positions 975 to 1375 of the family's 1533-position model. The record is from RNAcentral.
CUGGUCUUGACAUCCACAGAACUUUCCAGAGAUGGAUUGGUGCCUUCGGGAACUGUGAGACAGGUGCUGCAUGGCUGUCGUCAGCUCGUGUUGUGAAAUGUUGGGUUAAGUCCCGCAACGAGCGCAACCCUUAUCUUUUGUUGCCAGCGGUCCGGCCGGGAACUCAAAGGAGACUGCCAGUGAUAAACUGGAGGAAGGUGGGGAUGACGUCAAGUCAUCAUGGCCCUUACGACCAGGGCUACACACGUGCUACAAUGGCGCAUACAAAGAGAAGCGACCUCGCGAGAGCAAGCGGACCUCAUAAAGUGCGUCGUAGUCCGGAUUGGAGUCUGCAACUCGACUCCAUGAAGUCGGAAUCGCUAGUAAUCGUGGAUCAGAAUGCCACGGUGAAUACGUUCCC